CAGGGAUUGCCUCAGUAACGGCGAGUGAAGCGGCAACAGCUCAAAUUUGAAAUCUGGCCCUCUCAGGGUCCGAGUUGUAAUUUGGAGAAGAUGCUUCGGGUGCGGCGCCGGUCUAAGUUCCUUGGAACAGGACGUCACAGAGGGUGAGAAUCCCGUACGUGCCCGGUGGCCGCCCUAUGUGAAGCUCUUUCGACGAGUCGAGUUGUUUGGGAAUGCAGCUCAAAAUGGGUGGUAAAUUUCAUCUAAAGCUAAAUACUGGCCAGAGACCGAUAGCGCACAAGUAGAGUGAUCGAAAGAUGAAAAGCACUUUGGAAAGAGAGUUAAACAGUACGUGAAAUUGUUGAAAGGGAAGCGCUUGCAACCAGACUUGCGCGCGGUCGAUCAUCCGGUGCUCGCACCGGUGCACUCGGCCGCGCGCAGGCCAGCAUCGGCCUGGGUGGCUGGACAAAGGCCUCGGGAAUGUGGCUCCCUCCGGGGAGUGUUAUAGCCCGAGGCGCAAUGCAGCCCACCUGGACCGAGGACCGCGCUCCGGCUAGGAUGCUGGCGUAAUGGUUGCAAGCGACCCGUCUUGAAACACGGACCAAGGAGUCUAACAUCUAUGCGAGUGUUUGGGUGUCAAACCCAUACGCGUAAUGAAAGUGAACGGAGGUGAGAACCCUGAAGGGCGCAUCAUCGACCGAUCCUGAUGUCUUCGGAUGGAUUUGAGUAAGAGCAUAGCUGUUGGGACCCGAAAGAUGGUGAACUAUGCCUGAAUAGGGUGAAGCCAGAGGAAACUCUGGUGGAGGCUCGCAGCGGUUCUGACGUGCAAAUCGAUCGUCAAAUUUGGGCAUAGGGGCGAAAGA
This is a ribosomal RNA of 842 nucleotides. It matches the Rfam family "Eukaryotic large subunit ribosomal RNA", at positions 69 to 930 of the family's 3401-position model.